CCUACGGGUGGCAGCAGUGGGGAAUAUUGCACAAUGGGGGGAACCCUGAUGCAGCAAUGCCGCGUGAAGGAUGAAGGUCUUCGGAUCGUAAACUUCUUUUGUACGGGACGAAGGAAGUGACGGUACCGUAAGAAUAAGCCACGGCUAACUACGGGCCAACAGCCGCGGUAAUACGUAGGUGGAAAGCGUUAACCGGAUUUACUGGGAGUAAGGGGCGAGUAGGCGGGGUGUGAAGUCAGAUGUGAAAACUAUGGGCUCAACCGAUAGAGUGCAUUUGAAACUGCCGUUCUUGAGUGAUGAAGAGGCGGGCGGAAUUCCAGGUGUAGCGGUGGAAUGCGUAGAUAUAGGGAGGAACACCAGUGGCGAAGGCGGCCUGCUGGACAUUAACUGACGCUGAGGCGCGAAAGCGUGGGGAGCAAACAGGAUUAGAUACCCGAGUAGUC
This 443-nucleotide ribosomal RNA is filed under the name uncultured bacterium. Its description in RNAcentral is "partial 16S ribosomal RNA". It matches the Rfam family "Bacterial small subunit ribosomal RNA", at positions 338 to 795 of the family's 1533-position model. The record is from RNAcentral.